UACCAUAAGGAAUUUAUUUUUGGCAAUUUCUGCUCAAUGAAUAUUAAAUAGCCGCAGUACUUUGACUGUGCAAAGGUAGCAUAAUAAUUUGGCUUUUAAUUGGGGUCUUGUAUGAAUGAAAAAAUGGGGGAAUGCUGUAUCAAUUUAGUGGCCAAAAUUUACUUAAGGGGUGAAAAUACCCUUAGUUACAUAAUAGACGAGAAGACCCUUGAAAUUUUAUUAAGUGAUAAUUUUGUUGGGGCGACAGAGUAGCAGAUAACCUACUUUUAAAAUAAGUCUUAUAUUUAAGGAAAAAUCAAAUUACUCAAGGGAUAACAGCAUAAUUAUUUAAGUAGUUUGUGACCUCGAUGUUGGAUUAGGAAUAUCUAACUUAGAAGGUUAAGAUUUUUGCUCUGUUCGAGCGAUUUUUCCUACGUGAUCUGAG
This 424-nucleotide ribosomal RNA is filed under the name Satsuma bairdi. Its description in RNAcentral is "partial 16S ribosomal RNA". It matches the Rfam family "Bacterial large subunit ribosomal RNA", at positions 1829 to 2609 of the family's 2925-position model. The record is from RNAcentral. Lineage: Eukaryota; Metazoa; Mollusca; Gastropoda; Stylommatophora; Camaenidae.